This 292-nucleotide long non-coding RNA is filed under the name Mytilus galloprovincialis (Mediterranean mussel). The record is from RNAcentral. Lineage: Eukaryota; Metazoa; Mollusca; Bivalvia; Mytilida; Mytilidae.
GCCUCGGCAGUUUAAAUAGUCGGACUACAGUCUGAAUUAGUGAUUUGAAAAAUCUAUAUGUUGUAGAUGAUUUUGACUCAAAUUUGAAUUGUCUAGUUUUAUCAGUUUGUCUUCAGAAGGUGGGUUGCUCACUCCAUGCACACCAGUUUCUUUCACCAGCAAUAAGUUAUGACAAUGAUUAACAAAAUUAAAAUAAUGUUGGAAAAAUGUUGCAUUGAAAAACAAUUCACAUCAAGAGAUAAAAAGGAUAUUAUAUUCGUUCUCGUGACUAGGUUGGUUAAAAUGCUUGUUU